RNAcentral lists this ribosomal RNA (1699 nucleotides) under Salmonella enterica subsp. enterica serovar Paratyphi B var. L(+) tartrate +. RNAcentral's name for it is "partial 23S ribosomal RNA". It matches the Rfam family "Bacterial large subunit ribosomal RNA", at positions 556 to 2236 of the family's 2925-position model. The record is from RNAcentral. Lineage: Bacteria; Pseudomonadati; Pseudomonadota; Gammaproteobacteria; Enterobacterales; Enterobacteriaceae.
CCGUGUACGUACAAGCAGUGGGAGCACAGGUUUACCUGUGUGACUGCGUACCUUUUGUAUAAUGGGUCAGCGACUUAUAUUCUGUAGCAAGGUUAACCGUAUAGGGGAGCCGGAGGGAAACCGAGUCUUAAUUGGGCGUUAAGUUGCAGGGUAUAGACCCGAAACCCGGUGAUCUAGCCAUGGGCAGGUUGAAGGUUGGGUAACACUAACUGGAGGACCGAACCGACUAAUGUUGAAAAAUUAGCGGAUGACCUGUGGCUGGGGGUGAAAGGCCAAUCAAACCGGGAGAUAGCUGGUUCUCCCCGAAAGCUAUUUAGGUAGCGCCUCGUGAAUUCAUCUCCGGGGGUAGAGCACUGUUUCGGCUAGGGGGCCAUCCCGGCUUACCAACCCGAUGCAAACUGCGAAUACCGGAGAAUGUUAUCACGGGAGACACACGGCGGGUGCUAACGUCCGUCGUGAAGAGGGAAACAACCCAGACCGCCAGCUAAGGUCCCAAAGUCAUGGUUAAGUGGGAAACGAUGUGGGAAGGCCCAGACAGCCAGGAUGUUGGCUUAGAAGCAGCCAUCAUUUAAAGAAAGCGUAAUAGCUCACUGGUCGAGUCGGCCUGCGCGGAAGAUGUAACGGGGCUAAACCAUGCACCGAAGCUGCGGCAGCGACGCUUAUGCGUUGUUGGGUAGGGGAGCGUUCUGUAAGCCUGUGAAGGUGUGUCGUGAGGCAUGCUGGAGGUAUCAGAAGUGCGAAUGCUGACAUAAGUAACGAUAAAGCGGGUGAAAAGCCCGCUCGCCGGAAGACCAAGGGUUCCUGUCCAACGUUAAUCGGGGCAGGGUGAGUCGACCCCUAAGGCGAGGCCGAAAGGCGUAGUCGAUGGGAAACGGGUUAAUAUUCCCGUACUUGGUGUUACUGCGAAGGGGGGACGGAGAAGGCUAUGUUGGCCGGGCGACGGUUGUCCCGGUUUAAGCGUGUAGGUGUGUGUUCCAGGUAAAUCCGGUUCACUUUAACACUGAGGCGUGACGACGAGGCACUACGGUGCUGAAGCAACAAAUGCCCUGCUUCCAGGAAAAGCCUCUAAGCAUCAGGUAACAUCAAAUCGUACCCCAAACCGACACAGGUGGUCAGGUAGAGAAUACCAAGGCGCUUGAGAGAACUCGGGUGAAGGAACUAGGCAAAAUGGUGCCGUAACUUCGGGAGAAGGCACGCUGACACGUAGGUGAAGUGAUUUACUCAUGGAGCUGAAGUCAGUCGAAGAUACCAGCUGGCUGCAACUGUUUAUUAAAAACACAGCACUGUGCAAACACGAAAGUGGACGUAUACGGUGUGACGCCUGCCCGGUGCCGGAAGGUUAAUUGAUGGGGUCAGCGCAAGCGAAGCUCCUGAUCGAAGCCCCGGUAAACGGCGGCCGUAACUAUAACGGUCCUAAGGUAGCGAAAUUCCUUGUCGGGUAAGUUCCGACCUGCACGAAUGGCGUAAUGAUGGCCAGGCUGUCUCCACCCGAGACUCAGUGAAAUUGAACUCGCUGUGAAGAUGCAGUGUACCCGCGGCAAGACGGAAAGACCCCGUGAACCUUUACUAUAGCUUGACACUGAACAUUGAGCCUUGAUGUGUAGGAUAGGUGGGAGGCUUUGAAGUGUGGACGCCAGUCUGCAUGGAGCCGACCUUGAAAUACCACCCUUUAAUGUUUGAUGUUCUAACGUGGACCCGU